GCCCCUAUAGCUCAGUGGCAGAGUUUCAGUCUUGUAAACUCUGAUGGCUGAAGGUCGGUAGUUUGAUCCUGCAUGGGGGCA
The sequence is a transfer RNA, 81 nucleotides long. It matches the Rfam family "tRNA". Rfam says of the family: Transfer RNA (tRNA) molecules are approximately 80 nucleotides in length. Their secondary structure includes four short double-helical elements and three loops (D, anti-codon, and T loops). The record is from Rfam.